This 203-nucleotide long non-coding RNA is filed under the name Capsicum annuum. RNAcentral describes it as "long non-coding RNA (CANN_LNC010031)". The record is from RNAcentral. Lineage: Eukaryota; Viridiplantae; Streptophyta; Magnoliopsida; Solanales; Solanaceae.
GAGGAUUUUCUAAGUUCAAAUCUUUAACUUGCACCAAGUGAUAGAGACACCCCUCAAAAAUCAAGUUCAAGGCUCUAAGAUAUGAAAUGAACCUUUCCUUAGGCACUAAGGAACUACCUUCAAACUUAAUCACCAAUUCAUUAGUAAAUUGGAAACUGACUCUAUGUGUAUGACAAUCAAGCGAUACAUAGCACGAGUGCAAC